This 519-nucleotide ribosomal RNA is filed under the name Bacillus subtilis. RNAcentral describes it as "bacterial SSU rRNA". It matches the Rfam family "Bacterial small subunit ribosomal RNA", at positions 1 to 501 of the family's 1533-position model. The record is from RNAcentral. Lineage: Bacteria; Bacillati; Bacillota; Bacilli; Caryophanales; Bacillaceae.
UUUAUCGGAGAGUUUGAUCCUGGCUCAGGACGAACGCUGGCGGCGUGCCUAAUACAUGCAAGUCGAGCGGACAGACGGGAGCUUGCUCCCUGAUGUUAGCGGCGGACGGGUGAGUAACACGUGGGUAACCUGCCUGUAAGACUGGGAUAACUCCGGGAAACCGGGGCUAAUACCGGAUGGUUGUUUGAACCGCAUGGUUCAAACAUAAAAGGUGGCUUCGGCUACCACUUACAGAUGGACCCGCGGCGCAUUAGCUAGUUGGUGAGGUAAUGGCUCACCAAGGCAACGAUGCGUAGCCGACCUGAGAGGGUGAUCGGCCACACUGGGACUGAGACACGGCCCAGACUCCUACGGGAGGCAGCAGUAGGGAAUCUUCCGCAAUGGACGAAAGUCUGACGGAGCAACGCCGCGUGAGUGAUGAAGGUUUUCGGAUCGUAAAGCUCUGUUGUUAGGGAAGAACAAGUACCGUUCGAAUAGGGCGGUACCUUGACGGUACCUAACCAGAAAGCCACGGCUAAC